UACGUAGGGAGCAAGCGUUGUCCGGAAUCAUUGGGCGUAAAGCGCGCGUAGGUGGCUUCAUAAGUCCGUUGUGAAAGUCAAAGGCUCAACCUUUGAAAGCCGAUGGAUACUGUGGAGCUAGGAGUACGGAAGAGGCGAGUGGAAUUCCUGGUGUAGCGGUGGAAUGCGCAGAUAUCAGGAGGAACACCAAUAGCGAAGGCAGCUCGCUGGGACGUUACUGACACUGAGGCGCGAAAGCGUGGGGAGCGAACAGG
This 254-nucleotide ribosomal RNA is filed under the name uncultured bacterium. RNAcentral's name for it is "partial 16S ribosomal RNA". It matches the Rfam family "Bacterial small subunit ribosomal RNA", at positions 524 to 776 of the family's 1533-position model. The record is from RNAcentral.